Molecule: non-coding RNA, 570 nt
Filed under: Pongo abelii (Sumatran orangutan)
Lineage: Eukaryota; Metazoa; Chordata; Mammalia; Primates; Hominidae
Source: RNAcentral
AUGAUGAGGCAUUAAAGAAGAGGAGGAGUGUCUCAAGGGAGGUGAGCUGGAGGUGAUGCAAGGAUGUCUGAUCUGAAAGCAUGUUGUGGUCUGCUACACACAAGAGCAAAAGAAGAGCAGGAAGGAGCUCAGUGCCAAGACCAUAGCCACAGGAAGAAAACCAGCUCUUAGGGCUGCAGCUCUAAAGACAGGCCAGGUCAUUACAGGAACGUCUGCUCCCUUAGCCUUGCCAGACAGAGGAGGUUAAGAAAGGAACUGCUGACCCUGAUAUGCAAACUGCCACGAGUGUUUCCUGCCUUUCUAUCAGCGUCAGAUGGCUAGCAAUGGAUGGCUGCGGAGAGAGGAUUCCAGACAGAUAUUUGAGCAGAACAAAGAGAGCCAACAGGAUGAAGGCAUUCCCUGGCUGGUUGGACAAGCAACUGAAGAACAGGAACAGAAGUGAAUGAAAAGAGAAAAUGCUGUGUUUCUGUUUUCUCUUGGUUAGAAUGCUGUGAGUCAGGACCUCAGCUGCUGGGUGUCCUGGGACUGCCUUCGAUGAAGAACCUGAGACUCACCUUGCUUAAGUGACUU